AUGCUCACUUCAUCAGCACAUAUACUAAAAUUGGAACAAUACAGAGAUUAGCCUGGCCCCUGUGCAAAGAUGACAUGCAAAUUCGUGAAGUGUUUCAGAUUUUA
This is a small nuclear RNA of Pan paniscus (pygmy chimpanzee), 104 nucleotides long. NCBI's taxonomy places the organism in Eukaryota, Metazoa, Chordata, Mammalia, Primates, Hominidae. The record is from Ensembl.